GUGACUCUUUGCCAAUUGAGCAUCCCUGCAAUCACAGGUGGGCAGCUGAUGCAGCCAAGAGCUCCGUGAUGCCUCACCACACCCGUCGUGUUCCUGAGAGGACUCCCAGCCAAAGCUCAGCAUCACGGCCACCUCUGCCACGUGCUCCCUGAGGUGACUCCUCUGGAUAUCGAGCCCUGGAGGAGAGGUUACACCUCAGGUUUUGCCUGGCUUGAAGAGAAUAAAAAGCCCCAUUGGUGACAGCAACAUCAACAGAUGCAAACUAGGGAGUGAGUGUGGAAGUGAGCUGCCUUCACCUUUAUCUGCUGCUUUUGGACAGAUGAAUCCACACUACGGCAGAGCACUUGCAGAUUACUCUCCUUCUUCUGUGAAAGUUUGCCUAUCAGUGUAAGCGGCAUCUGGAGAUGGGAAAACUGAACUUCAGGUACUCCACCUUUCUUUCACCAGGUCAACAAGGAGAUUGAUUUUUCUUCUGCUAUGCUAGCAAAGCCACAGGCUUGUUUUUGAUUCCUACUCUUUAUGACAAGGACGGGAGUUGGGAGUAGGGGGGAAGGAAGAAAACUUUGAGGGACCAGCUCUGCCCCUUGCAGUCACUGAAGGGAUGCCUACCAAGGGCGGUGAAGGGAGAGGUCUUGCCAAGGCAGACAGUGCAAUCAUCUCUUUGUCUCACAUAGAAUCAGUGGGUCAUUAAUGUUUGAGCCAGCCUCUUAUUUCACUGCAGUUGUCUGCAUUGUCAAGGCUUUCCUCAAUCCAUCAAAAACCUGAAGGCCUUAACAGCCCCCAGCAAUGGCUGGAACAGGAGUUAUUCCUGAUCUAAAGCAAACCGUGCUGAUGGCCUCUCUUUCUGUGAUAUUUGCGACACUGAGCAAAGGGAUUGACCAACAAGAGAUGAUUACUUUUCCUUUUGUGCUCCCUUAGGUUAAAGUUUUGAGAAGACAAGGAUUAUCUCCAGUUUAGAAUCCUGCUUUUGAGCUGAUGGAUUCAUUGCAGGCUCUGCUCCCUUUGCACUCUCAGCUUCCUCCAAAAGAGGAGUAGAUGUGUGAGAGCCAGAAAACCAACCAUUGGCAGCCCUGUAUUGUGUGGGAUAUUUUAUUUACAAAGGUGGGGACAUUUGUACCAUCACCUUCUCUUGAUGGCUCCCCAAGCCUUGCUCUGCCAAUAGAGCUACAUGCAGAGAGGUCAUUAGGAAGACUAAGGUGAAUGCCUUGUGAAGGCCAGGAGACUGUUCUGGAGAAAGUCCCUUCCAGCACUGAAUUUUACAGUGGUCCAACGGGCUGGCAGGUGCAGUUUGUUUUACCUGGUUGCUUGGUUGCUUUGAUCUUUAAAAAGUCUUGUAAAUGCCUAAGAAGAAGAAAGUUGUUCACCUGUUCUGCAUAGUGGGGGAAAAAAUCCACCCCAAAUGCACAAUGGAGGGAAUAUCUGUCUCUCUGUGUCAGUGAUGCUAAACUGGAGUUUCAGUGGGAGAGGGCUCAGCCCUGGACAGGUUUUCCAGGCUAAUUGAAAGGAACAUGGUGAUAUCUGAAAUGCUACUUGCUCCAUGUGCUUGUGGCUUUGUUUAGCAUGGAGAUCAACAGAAAUGCAUAGGUAGCAUCUCUCUUUACACCUGAGCCUGUGAAGAGAGGGUGAGCUGCUUUAAUGGCUCUCUAUAUUUAUUGAAAUCUCUCUUUGUUGGGUAUCCUGGGGUUUACACUGACUAGUACCUUUCCAUAAGACAUCUCUCAAUCAACAGAGACAGCCAAGUUUACAGGGCAACAUUUUUCCCCUGCUUGUCAGCAUGUCAAGCAGCACCAAAACACACAAUCUCCUCCUGAAUCCCAUAGCAAA
Taeniopygia guttata (zebra finch) is the source of this 1824-nucleotide non-coding RNA. NCBI's taxonomy places the organism in Eukaryota, Metazoa, Chordata, Aves, Passeriformes, Estrildidae. The record is from RefSeq and is a predicted model, not a curated record.